AUGCAACUCUUGGUGAGGGUACCGUCUCUGCCAGAACGGGGCGAACUGGACUGCAGUAUCUGCUACCGGCCCUUCAACCUCGGAGACCGCGCACCCCGCCGUCUGCCCGGCACGGCGCGCGCCCGCUGCGGCCACACGCUCUGCACCGCUUGCUUGCGCCAGCUCGCCGCGCGCGGGGACGGCGCCGGGGCGGCCGCGCGCGUGGUGCGCCUGCGCCGCGUCGUCACGUGUCCCUUCUGCCGCGCGCCCUCCGCGCUCCCGCGUGGCGGCGUCACCGAGGUAGCCGUCGACCCCGACUUGUGGUCGCGAUUGGAAGACAAAGAGCGGGCCCCGGGUGAACGAGAAAUGGCGGGGAGUCCGGUCAAGGAGCGCGGCGACGCCGUCCCGGAGGCCGAUCACGAGGAAGAGGAGAACGAGGAGGGGGCGGGGCCUCGGAGCGCGGGCUGGCGCGCGCUCCGGCGUCUCUGGGACAGGGUCUUGGCGCCUGCGCGCCGCUGGCGGCGUCCGCUGCCUAGCAACGUGCUGUACUGUCCGGAGAUUAAGGACAUUGGCCACCUGACCCGCUGCACUCUGUAACGUAGGGACUCGGCAGGUACAGAAGAAGCGAGGCGGCAGCUGCCUUCUCCAGCGAGCUCUCUGCAGCCUUGGGAGCCCUUAUCCAGACUACGCAGUCUGUGAUGCGGGAGUGGCGACUGGGGGCGGGGGAGCCUGGCAAGUGUGAUGCCCUCGCCCGCGCCAGCCCAUUUGCCCAGCAUAGUGUGGCUUGACGAUGGCGUGUAAACAAAGCCCACAUUGCCGUGGGAAGGAAGCAGCCAGACUGUUUUCUGAGCUGUGGCUUUGGCUGUGGUCCAGGCCCGCGCUGGUGUGUGGCAGCAACAGGUCCCGGUUUAGCAGUUGUCAGUGGUUUGCAAUGUUCCAAAUGAGGGGGCAGCAGAGCUGGACGCAGAUGUUGGUGUCGUAGUUGUCUUCCUGGGGCCUGGAAGGAUGCUGGUAGGCUUUCUUCACUCCUGUGUUCCUGAAGCUGCUGAGACGCCUCCCUGGUUUGCUCCAUCUCAGAAACUACUUAAGGCACCUAAUUAGGGCUGACCAAGAUGAAG
RNA transcript from Ochotona curzoniae (black-lipped pika), 1097 nucleotides. It is a transcript of the gene named ring finger protein 227, with no coding region annotated. NCBI's taxonomy places the organism in Eukaryota, Metazoa, Chordata, Mammalia, Lagomorpha, Ochotonidae. The record is from RefSeq and is a predicted model, not a curated record. The transcript has 3 exons.